UAAUCUUUUCGGGCAAAUCCUCACUUGGUUAUAACAGACCCACACCUAAUUUCUCAAAAUCACCCACUACUGCGUGAAUAAUAAUUUUUUAAGAUU
This is a non-coding RNA of Populus trichocarpa (black cottonwood), 96 nucleotides long. The record is from Rfam. Lineage: Eukaryota; Viridiplantae; Streptophyta; Magnoliopsida; Malpighiales; Salicaceae.